Non-coding RNA from Xyrichtys novacula (pearly razorfish), 216 nucleotides. Lineage: Eukaryota; Metazoa; Chordata; Actinopteri; Labriformes; Labridae. The record is from the annotation of a GenBank genome assembly.
AUUAUCACUGACAGGAGUGAUGUGAAGGAGAGUCUGGAGAGUUUGAAAAAGUAAGUAAACUAGAAGAAGAACUUUGCUGAUCCCGGAAGGUAAAUUCAGUACAUCUUAAAUUUGAGGGGAGUUUCCUCUUUGAUAUAUAUCAUUUUGCGAACUUUAGUUUUCUUACUUUUUCCAACUCUCCAGACUCUCCUUCACAUCACUCCUGUCAGUGAUAAU